ACGAACGCUGGCGGCGUGCUUAACACAUGCAAGUCGAACGAAGCUUGAUUACGGAUUCUUCGGAUGAAGUAUGAUAUGACUGAGUGGCGGACGGGUGAGUAACGCGUGAGUAACCUGCCAUUCAGAGGGGGAUAGCGUUUGGAAACGAACGGUAAUACCGCAUAAUGUAUUUUGACCGCAUGAUCGAAAUACCAAAGAUUUAUCGCUGAAGGAUGGACUCGCGUCUGAUUAGGUAGUUGGUGGGGUAACGGCCUACCAAGCCGACGAUCAGUAGCCGGACUGAGAGGUUGAUCGGCCACAUUGGGACUGAGACACGGCCCAGACUCCUACGGGAGGCAGCAGUGGGGAAUAUUGCACAAUGGGCGCAAGCCUGAUGCAGCAACGCCGCGUGAAGGAAGACGGUUUUCGGAUUGUAAACUUCUGUUCUUAGUGAAGAAUAAUGACGGUAGCUAAGGAGCAAGCCACGGCUAACUACGUG
This 478-nucleotide ribosomal RNA is filed under the name uncultured bacterium. RNAcentral's name for it is "partial 16S ribosomal RNA". It matches the Rfam family "Bacterial small subunit ribosomal RNA", at positions 29 to 507 of the family's 1533-position model. The record is from RNAcentral.